CACAACCCCUUUAUUUUACAACAGCCUCUCUCAAUCCCAUCUCUCCCUCUCACGCACACACGACGCCACUCUCAACAUGAUGAUCCUCUUUUUCUCCGACGAAGACCCUAAUACAGUAGGGUAAACCAGAUCGAAAACUUCUACCCUUUAGGUUUCAAACUACCCAAAUAAACCACUUUAUUUCCCUACUAUCCUCAUCUCUCUCGGCGACCGAGAAAGCUCGAAAGCUUUCUACAUUGGCCACCACACGCGGGUGGCCAAAUCUAACUCCGACCACCACGGGACUCAACUGCUAUAGAACACGACACCACCAGCCGAAUGUUACUAAGGCUCAGAUGAUCUCCAUUCAACAAUCAACCCUUCCUCUUCUCUUAGAUCCCUAGCUAAGGUCCUUAAUGUUGAGCAAAAGUCUUGAUUCAGGGCUCACUGAAGUGUCAUGAAUUACCUAGUUGGAGCUUUCAAGCCGCCGUGUAAUAUUUUCAUAUCAUUCGCUGAUGGAAGAAACCGCAGGCUGGUACCGCUAAAAAAGGAAAAUGGGAAAACAAUUAUGGUUGCACUCUUCCAGAACCAGGAAAAUAUUGUAGGAGAGGUAGUGUUUUUCAUGUUUCCAUCUCAGGACUUAUGAUUGAGGCAUCUGCUUGUUAUAUACAAAUUGUUCUAUUAUUUAUUUGCAGUCAAAACUGUAUCCAUUAUUUUUCUUAUUGUUGAUACUUCAGGUAGUUAUAGAACCAAUAAUUAAAAUACCCCGAGAAAUCCUUCAACAAUAUGAUAUACAUAUGGAGUAGAAGAACACUACCUCCUGUUGUUGAUUCCUCUCUGGUUUUUUUUUAUGGCUGACCUCUCCCCCCUUUUCUGAUGAUGAUCGAGACUAUAUCCUUGAUAUUUUCUCUCUGUCUUCUUGUUGUGCUUGGUGCUCUGUCCCUUUUUUUAUGUGUCUGCAGGGCAUGGAUUCGAGCAUGGCUAGCAUGGGCACGACAACAUUAGUUUCGGUGGAUGGUCGACCAGCAUGGAUCUUCCUCGAUGGGUUCACGUGGGUAGCGCACUGUCUCGGGCUUCCUCCUGGUGGAUUUGCACCAUAUGUUAAUAUAAUAAA
Long non-coding RNA from Hibiscus syriacus, 1093 nucleotides. RefSeq lists it as uncharacterized. The record is from RefSeq and is a predicted model, not a curated record. The transcript has 5 exons. NCBI's taxonomy places the organism in Eukaryota, Viridiplantae, Streptophyta, Magnoliopsida, Malvales, Malvaceae.